AUUGAACGCUGGCGGAAUGCUUUACACAUGCAAGUCGAACGGCAGCACGGACUUCGGUCUGGUGGCGAGUGGCGAACGGGUGAGUAACAUAUCGGAACGUAUCCAAUAAUGGGGGAUAACGAGUCGAAAGAUUCGCUAAUACCGCAUACGCCCUACGGGGGAAAGCUGGGGACCUUCGGGCCUGGCGUUAAUGGAGCGGCCGAUAACUGAUUAGCUAGUUGGUGAGGUAAAGGCUCACCAAGGCGACGAUCAGUAGCUGGUCUGAGAGGACGACCAGCCACACUGGAACUGAGACACGGUCCAGACUCCUACGGGAGGCAGCAGUGGGGGAACUUUGGACAAUGGGCGCAAGCCUGAUCCAGCCAUUCCGCGUGAGUGAAGAAGGCCUUCGGGUUGUAAAGCUCUUUCGCAAGGGAAGAAAACUUAGCCACUAACAUUGGUUGAGGUUGACGGUACCUUGAUAAGAAGCACCGGCUAACUACGUGCCAGCCGCCGCCGUAA
Molecule: ribosomal RNA, 501 nt
Filed under: uncultured bacterium
Lineage: Bacteria
Description: partial 16S ribosomal RNA
Rfam family: Bacterial small subunit ribosomal RNA
Source: RNAcentral